GGGUAACUCUAUUUUCAACAUUUUGAGGAACAUCCAUACUGUUUUCCACAGUGGCUGCACCAGCUUGUAUUCCCAGUGUAAGAAUGUUUCCUAUUCUCCACAUCCUGGCUAACACUUGUCGUUUUCUUACUUGUUAGCCAUUCUGACUGGUGUGAGGUGGUAUCACACUGUGGUUUUGAUUUGUAUUUCCCUGAUGCCAAAUGAUAUUAAGCACUUUUUCAUGUGUCUAUUGGCCAUGUGGAUGUCUUCUUUGCAGAAAUGUCUAUUCAUGGCAUCUGCCCAUUUCUUGACUGGAUUAUUUGUUCUCUGGGUAUUGAGUUUGAUAAGUUCUUUAUAGAUUUUUGGAUACUAGCCCAUUACCUGAUAUGUCAUUGGCAAAUAUCUUCUCCAAUCUGUGGAUUGACUUUUGAUUUUGUUGACUGUUCCCUUUGCUGUGCAAAAGCUUUUGAUCUUGAUGAUGUCACAAUAGUUCAUUUUUGCGCUUGCUUCCCUUGCCUUUGGCAAUGUUUCUGGGAAGACGCUGUAGCUGAAGUCAAAGAGGUUGCUGCCUGUGUUCUCCACAAGGAUUUUGAUGGCUUCCUGUCUCACACUGAGGUGAGUUUUCUGCUUUGUCAUUUUGUCCAGAGAAGAAUAGAUGAAUGA
Molecule: long non-coding RNA, 642 nt
Filed under: Mustela putorius furo (domestic ferret)
Lineage: Eukaryota; Metazoa; Chordata; Mammalia; Carnivora; Mustelidae
Description: lncRNA (ENSMPUG00000028182.1)
Source: RNAcentral